Molecule: ribosomal RNA, 253 nt
Filed under: uncultured bacterium
Lineage: Bacteria
Description: partial 16S ribosomal RNA
Rfam family: Bacterial small subunit ribosomal RNA
Source: RNAcentral
UACAGAGGGGGCAAGCGUUAUUCGGAAUUAUUGGGCGUAAAGGGCGCGUAGGCGGCUUUGCAAGUGACGGGUGAAAGCCCUCGGCUUAACCGAGGAACUGCCUGUCAGACUGUAAGGCUUGAGACCGGGAGAGGUGAGUGGAAUUCCCAGUGUAGCGGUGAAAUUCGUAGAUAUUGGGAGGAACACCAGUGGCGAAGGCGGCUCACUGGACCGGUACUGACGCUGAUGCGCGAAAGCGUGGGGAGCAAACAGG